Molecule: long non-coding RNA, 884 nt
Organism: Eurytemora carolleeae
Lineage: Eukaryota; Metazoa; Arthropoda; Copepoda; Calanoida; Temoridae
Exons: 3
Source: RefSeq, a predicted model, not a curated record
GUUGGACACUCUGAAGACGUGUGGAGAAAACAAAUAUGCGGUGAAAAUGAUACACUUAGUUGGUCUCCAGAUUAUGCAGAACAUUUUGGAGUUAACCUGAGAUAUGCCAGGGUGUCCGCUAGUUCUCCAGGAAACCAGUUCAAGAUACAUCCAAAACAUUGGCCUUACAGUACACAAACAGGGGAAGUUUAACGUUUAACAUAAGUUUUCCGUCAUCAUCAAAAUCUUGCUCUUAAUAUGAAAAUGGUUCUCAGAAAUCAUGAUUAUUGUGUAAAGCUCAGAGUUGAUCAACAAGCAUUGAUUGACCGACAAGCAUUGAUUGACCGACAACCUCAACUUGAUUGGCAAAUCUGAUUAAUUGAUUGACAAGUUCAUUAAUUGACCAAAAAGCUCAUUAAUUAAUUAACAAACUUAUUACUUAUUGACUGACCUGCAGUUGAUUGUUUGAUUGAAAGCUCAAUUGGUUGAUUAACCACCUGGUUGAUUGAUACAAGCCGAUUGAUUGAUAGACAGACCGACUGGUUCACUGACAAACUGAAUAAUUGAUUGACGCAGCGAUUGACGGAACGACAAAAUUAUUGUCAUUUGCUAUGAUUAUAGUGCUCAUUGAUUUAUUGACAAAAUCAUCAUUGGUUCUCAAUCUGUUUAGGAAUACGCAUGUAAAUGUUCUAGAACUAACUAAUGGUGUUCUACUAGCUGACUACGGAUACCAACUAAGAAUUUCGCCUGGACUUAGCAAUGGUUGGAAUCUGUUCUCCUGUAACUCAGUUUAGAAAGAUGGAGAGACAUUUUGUGAUUUUGACUUGUGCAAUAUAAUCAAAUGUGUAGAUCAUUAUAUUGCAUAAAUAAACGGUUUUAGAAAAAAAAUAGUAUGCAUAAAUAUA